ACUCAAAUGAAUAGACGGGGACCCGCACAAGCGGUGGAGCAUGUGGUUUAAUUCGAAGCUACGCGAAGAACCUUACCAAGGCUUGACAUCCCAGGAAGGUCCUGGAAACAGGACUGUGCCUUCGGGAACCUGGUGACAGGUGCUGCAUGGCCGUCGUCAGCUCGUGUCGUGAGAUGUUGGGUUAAGUCCCGCAACGAGCGCAACCCUUAUUGUCUGUUGAAUUUUUCAGACGAGACUGCCCGGGCCAACCGGGAGGAAGGUGGGGAUGACGUCAGGUCAGCAUGGCCCUUACGCCUUGGGCCACACACGUGCUACAAUGGCCGGUACAACGAGUCGCAAAGCCGCGAGGCGAAGCUAAUCUCAUCAAACCCGGUCUCAGUUCGGAUUGAAGGCUGCAACUCGCCUUUAUGAAGUCGGAAUCGCUAGUAACCGUGGGUCAGCAUACCACGGUGAAUACGUUCCCGGGUCUUGCACACACCGCCCGU
This 485-nucleotide ribosomal RNA is filed under the name uncultured bacterium. RNAcentral describes it as "partial 16S ribosomal RNA". It matches the Rfam family "Bacterial small subunit ribosomal RNA", at positions 899 to 1397 of the family's 1533-position model. The record is from RNAcentral.